UCUAAGAAAGACUGUGCCUCCAAUU
RNAcentral lists this non-coding RNA (25 nucleotides) under Mus musculus (house mouse). Lineage: Eukaryota; Metazoa; Chordata; Mammalia; Rodentia; Muridae. The record is from RNAcentral.